UACAGAGGUGGCAAGCGUUGUUCGGAAUUACUGGGCGUAAAGCGUGCGCAGGCGGUUUUGCAAGCCGGAUGUGAAAUCCCCGGGCUUAACCUGGGAAUGGCAUUUGGGACUGCAAGGCUGGAGUGCGGCAGAGGAGACUGGAAUUCCUGGUGUAGCAGUGAAAUGCGUAGAUAUCAGGAGGAACACCGAUGGCGAAGGCAGGUCUCUGGGCUGACACUGACGCUCAUGCACGAAAGCGUGGGGAGCAAACAGG
This 253-nucleotide ribosomal RNA is filed under the name uncultured bacterium. RNAcentral's name for it is "partial 16S ribosomal RNA". It matches the Rfam family "Bacterial small subunit ribosomal RNA", at positions 524 to 776 of the family's 1533-position model. The record is from RNAcentral.